This 328-nucleotide ribosomal RNA is filed under the name uncultured Neocallimastigales. Its description in RNAcentral is "partial large subunit ribosomal RNA". Lineage: Eukaryota; Fungi; Neocallimastigomycota; Neocallimastigomycetes; Neocallimastigales. The record is from RNAcentral.
GUUGUUUAGUUGAAAAUCAAUUUAAUAAUUUUUGAUUCUAAGUAGUAUUGACUUUAUCAGCUUGCUGCUUUCUUUUCGAAAAUUAUUGAAUGCACUUUUCAGUUAACAAGUCAACAUCAAUUUCUUUUGUUGUAAAAAGGUAAGAGGAAGGUGGCUUGCGCUUCGGCUCAAGUGUUUAUAGCCUUUUACCUCUGCAAUCGGAGAGAUUGAGGUCUGCAGCGUAGAUCCUUCGGGGUUAGAUACAUUUGUGCUAAGCUAUAGCCUUGUAUAGACAACUUGUUGACUAUGCUCAGUCAUGUAGCUUACUCGCUUAUGCUAUUUUACCUAC